CUCAGGUUUCCGGAGUGGGAUGGAGAGGUGAGGUCCAUCCUGAGAGAGCCGUCACAUUCCCGUCAGCCUCGGGCGUCGACACGUUCUCAGGACAAGCGGCGGUGCCGCCGGCGGAGCUGGGACGGCCGCAGCAGGUCUCCGUCCUGGAGUCCGCCGCAUCCUCGGGUUUCAUCCUCCAGCAGGUCUCGCAGUCCUCACGCCCACCGUGGAGACAAAGCUCAGCCGGACAGACGAGGCCGCCGCUCGCCCGGCCUCCACCGCUGCCGUGACUCCACAGAGAGGAGGGAGGGAAGCUGGUCUCCUGCUGGGUCUCCACGUCACAAAUCGAGUUCUGCAGACAGAGGGACCUCCUCCAGACAAGGAGACGAGGCACUUCCACCUCCUCCUGCUCCCAAGAGGAGCUGUGGGAGGCGCUCGUCUACAGAAACCCCCCUGAG
Oryzias melastigma (Indian medaka) is the source of this 437-nucleotide long non-coding RNA. RefSeq lists it as uncharacterized. The transcript has 3 exons. The record is from RefSeq and is a predicted model, not a curated record. Lineage: Eukaryota; Metazoa; Chordata; Actinopteri; Beloniformes; Adrianichthyidae.